Molecule: long non-coding RNA, 387 nt
Organism: Oncorhynchus tshawytscha (Chinook salmon)
Lineage: Eukaryota; Metazoa; Chordata; Actinopteri; Salmoniformes; Salmonidae
Source: Ensembl
GGGUACCGGUACAGAGUCAAUGUGGAGGCUAUAUACAGGGGGUACCGGUACAGAGUCAAUGUGGAGGCUAUAUACAGGGGGUACCGGUACAGAGUCAAUGUGGAGGCUAUAUACAGGGGUACCGGUACAGAGUCAAUGUGGAGGCUAUAUAGAGGGGGUACCGGUACAGAGUCAAUGUGGAGGCUAUAUACAGGGGGUACCGGUACAGAGUCAAUGUGGAGGCUAUAUACUGGGGGUACCGGUACAGAGUCAAUGUGGAGGCUAUAUACAGGGGGUACUGGUACAGAGUCAAUGUGGAGGCUAUAUACAGGGGGUACCAGUACAGAGUCAAUGUGGAGGCUAUAUACAGGGGUACUGGUACAGAGUCAAUGUGGAGGCUAUAUACAG